AGCAGCCGCGGUAAUUCCAGCUCCAAUAGCGUAUAUUAAAGUUGCUGCAGUUAAAAAGCUCGUAGUUGAAUUUCGGGAUCAAUAUGUUGGUCGUGCCUCGGUACGUACUAGCUUAUUGGUUUCUCCCUUCUGACGAACCAUGAUGUCAUUUAUUUGGUGUUAUGGGAAAUCAGGACUGUUACUUUGAAAAAAUUAGAGUGUUUAAAGCAGGCUCACGCUUGAAUACAUUAGCGUGGAAUAAUGAAAUAGGACGUUUGAUUCUAUUUUGUUGGUUUCUAGGAUCGACGUAAUGAUUAAUAGGGAUAGUUGGGGGCAUUAGUAUUCAAUUGUCAGAGGUGAAAUUCUUGGAUUUAUUGAAGACUAACUACUGCGAAAGCAUUUGCCAAGGAUGUUUUCAUUAAUCAAGAACGAAAGUUAGGGGAUCGAAGACGAUCAGAUACCGUCGUAGUCUUAACCAUAAACUAUGCCGACUAG
Molecule: unclassified non-coding RNA, 474 nt
Filed under: uncultured Glomus
Lineage: Eukaryota; Fungi; Glomeromycota; Glomeromycetes; Glomerales; Glomeraceae
Description: SSU rRNA
Rfam family: Eukaryotic small subunit ribosomal RNA
Source: RNAcentral